CCGAGUUCUAAACUCCCAAACCCUUUGUGAACCUUACCCAUCGUUGCUUCGGCGGGAUCGCCCCGGCGCCUCACGCGCGCCGGAUCCGCGGCACCCGCCGGGGGACCGAAACUCUUGAUUUCUUCAGUGGUAUUCUCUCUGAGUGGCACAAGCAAAAUAAAAUCA
RNAcentral lists this unclassified non-coding RNA (165 nucleotides) under uncultured Acremonium. RNAcentral describes it as "sequence contains ITS1". Lineage: Eukaryota; Fungi; Ascomycota. The record is from RNAcentral.